UUAAAACGACUCUCGGCAAUGGAUAUCUCGGCUCUCGCAUCGAUGAAGAGCGCAGCAAAAUGCGAUACGUGGUGCGAAUUGCAGAAUUCCACGAACCAUCGAGUCUUUGAACGCAAGUUGCGCCUGAGGCCCCAAUCGGCUGAGGGCACGCCUGCCUGCGCGUC
This 164-nucleotide ribosomal RNA is filed under the name Coelogyne entomophobia. RNAcentral's name for it is "Entomophobia kinabaluensis 5.8S ribosomal RNA". It matches the Rfam family "5.8S ribosomal RNA". From Rfam's summary of the family: 5.8S ribosomal RNA (5.8S rRNA) is a component of the large subunit of the eukaryotic ribosome. It is transcribed by RNA polymerase I as part of the 45S precursor that also contains 18S and 28S rRNA. Lineage: Eukaryota; Viridiplantae; Streptophyta; Magnoliopsida; Asparagales; Orchidaceae. The record is from RNAcentral.